CUACCUUAACCUUCUCGAAGUCGGACUGAUAACAUAACUUUCAUUUCUUAUUUAUUGAUUUCAGCAUACUGUGUGGACAAGGAAAGCCACGCGAAGAAAAAAACCAAGUGAGACGUGGAAAUCGGUUACAUGGUUGUGUAUCUACGAGUAAACCAAUAUACGAACCAAGACUAAAGUUUCGACAAAAACACAUUUAUGACGUAAUCAAAGUAUCCAAGCAAUGCUCGUCUUCGUGCUUUAUUGAAUUCAUAGUAGACUGAUUACACCUGCAACGACAGAGAGUGGCGACGUUAGUUCGCGUUAUAAUCCUUUUGGAAUUCCGACAAAGAUCAGCAACGAAAGAACGGGAGGAAUAUGGAUUCUCAUCUUUUCUUUGAUUGGCCUACUUACCUGAAUGGAGGGUGCGUAGAAAAAGGUCGGUCUAGUAGGGGACUGCGGGAGGUGGAGGAGAGGUGUAAUAGUACGGAGGCGGGGGCGGUGAUUUGUAGAUGUAAGGUGGUGGAGGUGGUGAUGAAUAGACGUAUGGAGGAGGAGGAGGAGACUUAUACACAUAAGGUGGUGGUGGAGGCGACUUAUAAAUGUAAGGAGGAGGUGGCGGAGAUUUGUAUUCAUAAGGAGGCGGUGGUGGUGACUUGUAGACAUAGGGAGGUGGGGGAGGCGAUUUGUACUCAUAAGGAGGGGGUGGUGGUGACUUGUAUACAUAAGGUGGUGGUGGAGGCGAUNNN
Molecule: long non-coding RNA, 725 nt
Filed under: Eucalyptus grandis
Lineage: Eukaryota; Viridiplantae; Streptophyta; Magnoliopsida; Myrtales; Myrtaceae
Description: long non-coding RNA (EGRA_LNC001120)
Source: RNAcentral